This 440-nucleotide ribosomal RNA is filed under the name uncultured bacterium. Its description in RNAcentral is "partial 16S ribosomal RNA". It matches the Rfam family "Bacterial small subunit ribosomal RNA", at positions 338 to 795 of the family's 1533-position model. The record is from RNAcentral.
CCUACGGGAGGCAGCAGUGGGGAAUAUUGCACAAUGGGGGAAACCCUGAUGCAGCGACGUCGCGUGAGUGAUGAAGUAUUUAGUUAUGUAAAGCUCUAUCAGCAGGGAAGAAAAUGACGGUACCUGAGUAAGAAGCUCCGGCUAACUACGUGCCAGCAGCCGCGGUAAUACGCAGGGGGCCAGCGUUAUCCGGAUUUACUGGGUGUAAAGGGGGCGUAGACGGCAGUGCAAGUCUGUAGUGAAAGGCGGGGGCUCAACCCCCGGACUGCUCUGGAAACUGUACGGCUGGAGUGCAGGAGAGGUAAGUGGAAUGCCUGGUGUAGCGGUGAAAUGCGUAGAUAUUAGGAGGAACACCAGUGGCGAAGGCGGCUUACUGGAGUGUAACUGACGUUGAGGCUCGAAAGCGUGGGGAGCGAACAGGAUUAGAUACCCGGGUAGUC